GUCCGAGCGGUAAACGAUGUCCACCAGGUGUUGGAGGUAUCGACCCCGCCAGCGCCGCAGCUAACGUGAUGAGUGGACCGCCUGGGGAGUACGGCCGCAAGGUUAAAACUCAAAGGAAUUGACGGGGGCCCGCACAAGCAGCGGAGUGUGUGGUUUAAUUCGAAGCAACGCGAAGAACCUUACCUGGGUUUGACAUGCGCCUGCACCGCCGAGAGAUCGGCGUCCCUUCGGGGCGGGCGCACAGGUGCUGCAUGGCUGUCGU
Molecule: ribosomal RNA, 262 nt
Filed under: uncultured bacterium
Lineage: Bacteria
Description: partial 16S ribosomal RNA
Rfam family: Bacterial small subunit ribosomal RNA
Source: RNAcentral